UGCAGUCGAGCGGUAGAGAGAAGCUUGCUUCUCUUGAGAGCGGCGGACGGGUGAGUAAUGCCUAGGAAUCUGCCUGGUAGUGGGGGAUAACGUCCGGAAACGGACGCUAAUACCGCAUACGUCCUACGGGAGAAAGCAGGGGACCUUCGGGCCUUGCGCUAUCAGAUGAGCCUAGGUCGGAUUAGCUAGUUGGUGGGGUAAUGGCUCACCAAGGCGACGAUCCGUAACUGGUCUGAGAGGAUGAUCAGUCACACUGGAACUGAGACACGGUCCAGACUCCUACGGGAGGCAGCAGUGGGGAAUAUUGGACAAUGGGCGAAAGCCUGAUCCAGCCAUGCCGCGUGUGUGAAGAAGGUCUUCGGAUUGUAAAGCACUUUAAGUUGGGAGGAAGGGCAGUAAAUUAAUACUUUGCUGUUUUGACGUUACCGACAGAAUAAGCACCGGCUAACUCUGUGCCAGCAGCCGCGGUAAUACAGAGGGUGCAAGCGUUAAUCGGAAUUACUGGGCGUAAAGCGCGCGUAGGUGGUUCGUUAAGUUGGAUGUGAAAUCCCCGGGCUCAACCUGGGAACUGCAUUCAAAACUGACGAGCUAGAGUAUGGUAGAGGGUGGUGGAAUUUCCUGUGUAGCGGUGAAAUGCGUAGAUAUAGGAAGGAACACCAGUGGCGAAAGCGACCACCUGGACUGAUACUGACACUGAGUGCGAAAGCGUG
Molecule: ribosomal RNA, 710 nt
Filed under: uncultured bacterium
Lineage: Bacteria
Description: bacterial SSU rRNA
Rfam family: Bacterial small subunit ribosomal RNA
Source: RNAcentral